GAGUAUUUGAGGAAUCCCCUACGAUCAAGUCGGGCCUGAUUAUCCAUAAGAAGCAGAAGUUGGAAUUAGCAAGCCCCCAACCAAACUCCACCAGCUGUUCUGCAGACAUGACAGUUAUGCUUCCAAAGUUCACAUAAACAACAGAAUCAGCUUCUUUGGAAUCCAGCCACUGAAGACAUGUUUUUUCCUCUUCCCAAAGACUAUAUCCGAUGCUCUUCAGACCCUCUUUCUCGUCUAAGGGGAUUUGGUUGACGAGCAACUGAUAAGGGCCUAUUGUGUAUACACUGGUGGUGUACAUAGAUGAGAUGACGUCCACAAGUUCUUGUUCCAAGUCAUCGAAGGUAUGAAGUACUUGUGCUGUCCCAUUCUUUGCUCUCUGAGUAGAUUCCAGAAAGAAGUUGAACAUAAUAUCAUUUGGAUCUAUGAUUCUAAUGUGACUUGGAAGAUCCCUCAAACGAAUGUCUCGUAUUCCUGGAAUCCAGUCUAUAAUGGUGUCCAGAUACCCAUUGCUUAGGUAACUCUCAUCUGCAUGAGCAAAAUAGUUAUUGCAUACAUGUAACAUUACAAUAUAGUUAUUACAUGAACAUUUAGUUGUGACAAAAUCAUACCUUUUAAUGGUACAAGACCUCUAUCGCGGGCAUUUUUGAAUUGAUAAAAUCCCAUAAAUCCACAAGCAGCAAUUGUCCAAAGCAAAACGACAGGAAUUCCAAGAGAAUGUGCAGCAUCCGCUGUGAAUGGCAUGAAUCCGUCAGAGAGGAUUGAAGUGACUGGAUGAAUUCCAGCAUUGAGCUUUGCGAGGAGGUCCUCAAAUGCAGGUAACAAGUUGUUCUGUAUGAUAGAAUGGCAAAGUUGAGGUAUAUCUUGAGUGGCAUCAGCAUCAGAUGGAGGGAGGCCGUCAGGGAUGGUUUGGAAACUGAAACCAGGCAGGCUUUCGACAGACUCAAGAGCUCCUGACUUAAGGAAGCGUCUCUGAUUGAACUCCGUAUUCACAAAUGUAAUGAGAGCACCUUUGCUAUGAAGGAGCUUCGCCAUUUUCAGCAUUCCCUUCAUGUGGCUUUGAGCAGGGUAAGGUAUGCAAACUACAUGAGCCUGCUUCUCUGCCGCCUCUGCCUCUGAAUUCAUAGCUUCUCUAUCACGUUUUUUUCUUACUACAAUGAAAACAGCAAGCCCCUUUGGGAGCUUUAUAGUAACGUUUUCUUUAGAGUUAGCUGAAAAAAUUAGAGCAUAUUUAUCACUAUGCAUUGAUUGUUAAGUUCUGAACCUGAUUCGUGAAUUGUAUAUUGUUGGACAGGCAAUUUUGUCCAUGUUGAAUUCGGCAGAACUGAUCAUUCCUGUAAAUGUAAAUAUAUAUAUUUGUUUAUAUUCAAUUUCCUACAGUUUCUUGAAUGCUCAGAGAUAAAACAAAAACAUUGUUGUUCGGGUAUGAACUUUUUCACUCCAGUAAUAUCUUUUAUCAUUCAUGCUUGAACAUUUUCACUCUAAUGAAUUUGAAUUCUUCUUCAAUAAUACAGAAGCAAUUAUUACGAUAGAUUGAUAUCGACCACAAGAUUUGUAAAGAGUAAUGAAUGAUUGUCCAUACAACUGUAAAGAGUAAUGAAUGAUUUGUAACUGUAUCUUUUGGUACCUGGUCCAUAUAACUGUACAAUUAUCUCAUCUUCACUGCAAUAAAAUCAGAAUGGCAAAAUAUAAGGUACCUUAUAAUUCGGGACUAUCUCGUGAGCAUUUGCUACUGUGUCACAAAUUUAUCAAGCUUCCUAGUCAUUCAAAGAAUGAAACAAAAGAGCGGAAGCUGAGAAAGAGAAAGAGCUCGGAUCUCAUGAAAAUCAAACUAAAUUUUCUUUUCUCAGGUGGCGUUUAGUCGACAAGACAAAUAUUCAUAAGAUUCCCCAUACUCAUCAAAUUGCUCUCGUAUUGUUUUGUAGGGAAUCAUUCAGCUAUCACACCAGGAUUCAAGCCCGAAAAGGAGAGGAAGGUCCGGACAUAAGUGGAGUUAUCACUGUCCCCUGGCAUCUCUUCCUAGUUAAAGCAGGUUACUAAAUCUAUUAGAAAACCAAAUAAUAUGCCGUCCCAGUCCUGUUACAUAUUUUUUUUUUCUCCGGAACAGCAGGCCUCAGACGUGACUUUCUAGCAAUUAAAAAGUGGAUGCGUCCAAUUUUCUAUAUACGAAAUUCAAUGGGCGUUCUCAAACUGACAUUACGCUCUCAGCAUUUUUUUUGAGCGUAAUGGUAAGCAAAUCAGGGAAAUUGGUAUCGUGUAAAGUUCAAAAAUCAUGUGCAGAAUUUUAAGUAUAACUCUUUGUCGCAGGAAUAAAUUUUUUGUUAGGUUACAGACUUCACAUAUAAGCAGUUUGAAAAUAUAUGCUCAACUGAAAUCUUGGAGUAUGGCAUGGGAUUUGCUCAGUUCUACACUUCCUUUCUGGCUCUGCCCCUGUGUGGUGGUCAGGCAUCGUGUCAAGUAGAAGAUUGGUUGUUCUUGUUAGGAUCGCAUUUCCGAUAGAUUGAUGUUUAUUGACAAAAAUGAAAGUUAAAAACACAAAUAAUUAACAUGAAAAUCCUGAAAAGAGGGUAAAAUCACAAAUUCAUCCGGUAUGAAUGUAUUAUAAUACUGAGUCGCUCCCUCGGUCCCUCCCUCAACACUCUUGAAUACACGCACCUCAAUUUGCACCUCAAUUUGAUCACAAAUUUUUUUUCUUAUGUAUAUCCGGCACAACUCUAUUAUAAAGUUUUGAAUACAUAAAGUUUCAAUAACAAAUAUAUUUAUAGACACCACAAAUACAAUAAUCCUGAUUUAUUUUAAAUUUUAUUUAUGAUAAUUACCAUUUUAUUUGGAAGGAAAUACUUUCACAAUUAAUAGUUCUACCAAAAAUAAGGCUAUUUUAAUUAUUAUAAAUAAAAUAUCUUCUCAAAUUAGAAUUCUUAAAUUAUUUAGAAAAUCGUGGAGAACCCAAUGGUUUUUGGUUUCAAGGUGAUUGUAGAGAGUUUAACAAGUCUAACAUGAGUGGACGUAGAAGAUUUGUCUCGAAUAUAAAUAGUCAAUUAAUUCUAUUAAUAUACCUACGCAGUACGCUUCAAUUAUAGUGACAAUUGAGUGCCAAUGUAUGUCAAAAGUGAGAAGGUUGAGAAGUUAUUUGAAAAGAAAACUACAUCUAUUGCUAUUGCUGAAGAAGAUCUCAACUUAGUUGAGAAGAAUUCUUGAAACUUCAUGCUACUAUGUUAAAGGAUCAUAAAUUCAAAGCAGCUAGAGCCUCUGUUAGAGGAGGAGCUAGAGAAAGAGAAUGGAAAGAUAGAGAAAAAGGAAGGACUCUGACCGGAAGCCAAAGUACUGAGGCAACUGAACCUAAAAGAUCAACUCAGGACAUUAGGAUUGAAUAAGGUACAAGACAAUCUCAACGAACCUCAAUUCUGAUUAAUUCUCAACUUUCUAUAGUUGUUACCUUUGGAGAUGAAGAAAUUGCUAAAGAAGAAGAAGCCGCAUUCAUUCCAAGAAGAAGAACUCAAAACCUGAUCAGGCAAAUACUGACAAUCAAAAUCCUGACAGAACUCCGCCAUUUACUGACGAAGCUAACUCUGACAAUGCAAAUAUUGAUGCUCCGCCAGAACUGAUAAAAAUGUCAAUCCUGAUAGGAUUUCUAAUAAAGAUAGUGAUAUUUUGAAUGAGCGUAAGAGCGUCUCCAGGAGUCUUCUAGUAGUAUCCAAAAUAUAAUAUAAAAUAUAUGGCUUUUAGUCCUAUAGUGUAAUUUUAAGAGUGACAACUUCAACAAUGCUCUAUAUAUCCUCUCACUAUUGUAUAUUUUAAUGAAUUUUUUAUUGUUAAAAACAACUUAAGAGCCACUACAUGACUCUUAAAAUAUAGGAAAGAAAAGAAGCUCUUAAGCUUUUUAAGAGCCACUAAGAGUCUCUUGGAGCUCAAUUUUUAAUGAUCCUCUCUAUAUCCUGUGUUAGGAGCUUAUUUAAGAGUCUAUUGGAGAUGCUCUUUUGAGUUUCAUAAUGAUGAAAUUGACGAGGAAGAAGAAAAGAUAGAUCAAAUUGAUGAGGAAGAGAAAAGGAUUGCUCAAACUGUCAGAUGAAUGAAAGUGCAUAUGUCAAAGGUCUAAAGCAAUCAAGUUUAGCAAAUUGGUUUAAUCCUAAAGAUAAGAUUUAUAAGCUUUAUUUGAGCUAUGAACCAACCAAGAGAAGGAUAAGAAAUGAAAAUCUAUUAUUAAUUUGUAUUGCAGAGCACAAAUAUUCUAUAUAAUAAUAAUAAGAAAUACAAACAAGAAGGUUCUUAUUCCUUUAAAAUUUUAAAUUAUUUAUUAUAUAUUUAAAGAAUCUCGUUUGGAAAUACGAGGUGAUGAGCCCCUCAAUUUCAGUUUCUAUCCCUCCUAUUUUGAUGCCACCUUGAUUUAAUCUGCGAUGUACAUGUACUCUAAACGGUUCAUUUCACUAUUUAAACAUGCACAUUCAAACAAAUUUUAUAAUAAACAAACUUUUCUGUAUGCAAUUAGAUUUUUGAUUUCGAAACAAUGUUAUAUUUUCAUCUAUAAAAUACUAUUCGAUUAGUAAUUUUGAGGAGUCGUCAAUAGGGUUCAUGUCAUAACGGCACGGGCAUGCCAGACUGGGCAUGCCCUAGGCAUGCCUUUUGUCCAUUUGACAUGCUUUUUUACUAAUUUUUUAUAUAAAUAAUAAAAUUUAUAUAAAUAUUAUAUCUUAUAAAUAUUGAAAAUUUUAAAUAUAGUCCAACUUCAUAGUUAAAUAUUAGAUAAACUACUAAUAUAAGUUAGUAUCGUACUAAGUUCUGUUCUUAAUAUUUACUAACUUUUGUUAUAUUUGUAAGUGCACUUUAGUAUCAAUCCUAUAAUGAUGCGGCAGUUUUUACUAUAUUUAAUGGAAAAUGGCAUGCCAUUUGGGCAUGCCAUUUUGUAAAAUACAUGCCUAUAGGCAUGCCAGUGAGAACUGCCGUGAUAUGUACCCUAGUCGUCAAGCAGGGGGCCUCUUGCUAUCACGAAUUCAUCUCAACCACCUCAAUCCUCAUGGACUACUACGCCUGACAAUUUAUAUAUUAUUAAUCCUUUACUCUAUGUAAUCAGUAUUUCAGAGGUCAGACAAUUGUGGUAGUGGGUAUGGGUCACUCAUCAAUCUACCAUUUUCUAAUUUUCAUGAACAUAGACUGGGUUCUGCUGGCGGGUGUUGGCCCCUAUAUUAUUAAUAUCCUCGAUAUCACGGAUCCAGAAAAAUAUCCUAAAAAACUACAUUUUCCAGCUUCUAGCGUUCUGUUAGAAUUAAAGAACAUAUUGGGAAAAUUAAAUUACAGGUCUCUGAACUAUUGACAUUUUAUUGUUUAGGUCCCUGAACUAAAGAUUUUGUAUUUCAGGUCACUUAAUUUUUCUGUUUUCUAAUCUAAGUCCUACCGUUAAAAAGAUUCUAACGGUGUUAACUAGAGUUCUUGAGUUUCAUACAGAUCAAAGCAAUUUUGAAAGUGUUAAUGACAUCCAAAUUCAAAGUUCAAGUAGUCAAAUUGAAGCUUUAGUCGCUAGCGGCACUCGUAUGACACCAAUUUUCACAAACUAUGUUCAAUUCAAAAUUUUCUAAAUUCAGGUCCUUAAAUUCGCUAAAGAACCCUAAAUUUAUGGUCCAAUAUGGGGUUUUUUAAAAUUAAAUCUAUUUUGUGAAAUUUGUUGUCAUAUGAGUGUUGCUAGUGAUUCAAACUUCAAUUUGACUACUUGAAUUUUGAGUUUGGAUAUCAUUAACACCUUCAAAAUUUCUUUGAUCUAUAUGAAAAUCAAGAACCCUAGUUAACACCGUUAGAAUCUUUUUGACGGAAGGACUAAGAUCAGAAAACGAAAAAGUUAAGUGACCUAAAUUACAAAAUCUUUAGUUCAGGGAUCUACACAAUUAAACGUCAAUAGUUCGAGGACCUAUAAUUUAAUUUGCCCAAACUAAUUUAUGUAUCAUUUUCUUAUGAUUAAAAGAACAUAACGCUAGUUUUUGUAGAAUUCUAUAAGAUUAAAAGAACCAGACGCUACAUCGUGUGAUGAUUUGUCGGGAAUAAAAUAACAAUACGCUACAUGAUGUAACGAUUUUUAACGAUUUUUUUUUCCCCAAAUUGAAAACGUUGACGUUAAUAACUGAUAUUUAAAACCAUUUUUUCAAUCUGUUGUUAUUCUGGCAUUAGUUCUCCAUUUUGUGAGAUCUGGGACCAUUUAUCUUCAGCGGCCCCGCCCUUCCAUCUGUCUUCUUUAAUAUUGAGUUUUCAUUUUUUAAGAACAAGACAAUAUAAAACAUAUAAAUUUAUAUAUUUUCAUAAAAUGAUAAUUAGUUUUCUAAAUCAAAAAUAUUAAAUGCUGUCUAAAUAUUUAAAUAAAUGAAAUACCAUGUUAGUGCAAAAAUUUCAAUCGAAAUAAGUCUUUAUAUUUUAAUAAACAAGUUUACCCUAAUAUGCCCAUUAUUUUGGGAUCAUAUUUGUUGGUUAAAGUAAAUAUGAUGAUUACAAGUGAUUAGUAAACUUCACUUAUAAAUUAUUAUAAAUUAUCAAAAGUGUUUGAAUCAUUUUAUAUAUAAGUCUAUUGUGUGUUUGGUAAUUUAAAUUUAUAAAUUAAAAAAAAAAUAUUAAAUUACAAGAAACUUUAUUAACAAAAUUUUUCACACAUUAAAAACUUUAAUAUUUAUAUUUCUUCCGUCCCUCUCAUUUCUUUACAGUUUUUUUUAACUGCUCGACACGCAUUUUAAGAUUCUUAUAAAACAUAGUUUUGUAAUUUACUUUUGAGAUUUUCUUUUUGUGUAUAAAAGUUCAAACAUCAAAUAUUUAUUAAAAAAAAGAUUAAAAAAUAAGUUGCGGAACUAUAUUUUCUAAGAGCAUUAGAAUGCGCGCCAAACCCUUGUCCCCAAGGUAAGCUACCUAGGGGAACAGAGGGAGUAACAGAAUGCGAAUCACUAAAAAUUCAAAAAAGACUGGCAUUUCUGACUUCUGACUUCAAAAACAUAAAAUAAGCCCUUCUACUUUUUUUUUCUCCAAACAAUACCUAACAAGCGAAACAACUUAAAAUACUAAAAGAAGUGUUUACUAUUUUGCCUUUGUAUAGCAUGAAGUUACAAAUAAAUUUUUAGGUGGUGUUUGACGGCGGCUCUUAAGUCUGACUUCAGUAUUUAUAAUUUAGAAGCACUUAUUCGUAUCGUCUGUGUAAAAAGUUAUGGAGUCCUUAUAAAAGUUGAGUUUUAUAAGAAUCCUAAUUUUUGUUUAAUGACUUCCACUUCUUUCCCAAACACUUUAAUCACUUAUAAGUGUUAACUUGUUUCUAACUUUUUUUCACUUCUUUACUUUAAACAAAAAAUUAUUUAUUUAAUUUCACCCAAAGCCCCCUUAAUAUUAUUUUUAUAAAUUGUAUUUAUGAUGUAAAUUACACUAUGAAGCAAUAAUAAAAUUAAUUUCUGAAAAACAAAUAACAAAUUUUACAGAAACGAACAAAUAUAAUGAGACAAAGUGAGUAUCUUUUAAGAUACGAAAAUAUUGAACAUGACAGCUUAUUAUAUUGCUGAUAUAUAAAGACAGUGAGUGGAGUGGGAUGACUUCCUACCUUUCAUCGAACAUGCCAAUAAUUUAAAACAACCACGACAUUAUCAGGGUGCUAAUCAUACAAUUAUAUGAAGAAGAAGAAACUAAUCAUGGUGCUCUGCUCUCAUGCAACUAUGAACAUAAAAUUAGUCAAGCCUAAUGUUCAAAAUUAUGUGCAACUUAAUAUAAAUAGACAUUUUGCAUGUGAGAAAAUAUUUCACUAAAACUGAUCCAUGAAGUUUUAUUGCACACAAAUUUAGAAGUGGUGAUAUUAUCUGAAGAAACAGAACCUUAUUCAUAUAGAGAAAUGGAAGUUUAUGGCUUCAUCUAGUACAUUUUAGUUCUUGAGAAGAAGAACCAGUUUGUCCAAAUUAAGAGAAGAUGAGCCAUUAGGUGCACAGGCCUGCUCAGCCAUUUCCUUCAACUUGAUAGCCUUGUUUCUCAUUCUCUUGCCCUCAAUUCCAUCCAUCAAUUGUCGAACAAGUUUCUCCACAUCGUCUCUUCUGACGUCGUUAGGAAUCUCCAGUCCGCACUCCCAUAUGUCACGCAAGAACUUGCAGUUUAUUUGUUGAUCUGCAAAGAAAGGCCAACAGAGCAUUGGCACUCCCGCGGAUAUGCUCUCUAUAAUUGAGUUCCACCCUCCAUGCGUCAAGAAGCCUCCCACAGACGCGUGGUUGAGGACAUCUUCCUGUGGACACCAACUUGCUAUGAAGCCUCUGCCCUUGAUGGCAUCCAUAAAUUCAACUCCCAAUGUAUUACUAUUUGUCGAUUCACCCACGAUCAGGUCGGGCCUGAUUAUCCACAAGAAGCAGAAGUUGCUAUUGGCAAGCCCCCAGCCAAACUCCUUAAGCUGCUCUGCAGACAGGACUGUUAUGCUUCCAAAGUUGACAUAAACAACAGAAUCAGCUUCUUUAGAAUCCAGCCACUGAAGACAUGUUUUUUCCUCUUCCCAAAGAUUAUAUCCAAUGCUCUGCAGACCCUCUUUCUGAUCUAAUGGUAUUUGGUUGAGGAGCAUCUGUUGAGGGCCUAUUGUGUAUACUUUGGGAAACAUAGAUGAGAGGACGUUUACAAGUUCUUGUUCCAAAUCAUCGAAGGUAUGAAUUACAAUUGCUGUAGCAUUCUUUGCUCUUUGAGUACAUUCCAUAAAGAACUUGUACAUAAAAUCAUCUGCCUCAAAAAUUCUGAUGUGACUUGGAAGAUCCCUCAGACGAAUUUCUGGCAUACCUGGAAUCCAGUCUACAAUGGUCUCCAAAUACCCAUUGGUUAAACAGCUCUCAUCUGCAUCAUGAUGAACACUGUCAUGACAAAUAUGUACCAAAACAAAUAGAUACUGCAUGGCGCAUGCACAUAUUAUUUUAAGAGCUCUGACCUUAAGUCAUGGAUUCUUACCUUUAAGUGGUACAAGACCUCUAUCAAGGAGAUUUUUGAACUGAUAAAAUGCCAUAAAUGCACAAGCAGCAAUUGUCCAAAGCAAAACAAUAGGAAUUCCAAGAGAAUGUGCAGCAUCGGCUGUGAAUGGCAUGAAACCGUCAGAGAGGAUCGAAGUGACUGGAUGGAUUCCAGCAUUGAGCUUCGACAGAAGGGUCUGAAGUGGAGGUAGCAUGUUGUUUUCUAUGAUGCCAUGACAAAGUGCAGGUAUGUCUUGGGUGGCGUCAGGAUCAGACGGAGGGAGGCCAUCAGGGAUGGUUUCAAAUCUGAAACCAGGGAGGCGUUCAAGAGAUUGAAGAGCACCUGCUUUGAGCAAGCGUCGGUGAUUGAACUCUGUAUUCACAAAUGUAACGAAACAGCCUUUGCUGUGAAGGAGCUUUGCCAUUUUCAGCAUUGCCUUCAUAUGGCUUUGAACAGGGGUAGGAAUGCACACUACAUGAGCCUGCUUCUCUGCUACUCUUUCUACUGAAGCCAUUACUUCUGUCAUGUUUUUAUGUUCAUAAAAGCAACCAGCAAGGACCCUUUUAUAGCUGAUGCUUUUAGAGUUGGCUGAAUAGGCCAGAAUAUGGUGCAGCCUGCAUGCUUUGAUUAGUUUUAUUAUUUCAAUCUCAUUUAAAAAAAUAUGCGAUAAUGUACCAAUUUAUUAAUAUUGCAGGUCCAUCUGAUUAUCUGAAAGGAGAUUAAUUUUUGAAUAUUGCUAAGUGCUAACCAUGACUAAGCAAGCCCUCAGACUCUCAUUCUCAUAACAAAGUUUCAAAAUCUAAGCAAGCUGACAAUCUACAUCGUUUCUCUGCACAUUAUUUGGAAUCUGCAAUCUGCACUCCCUUCGGUCACACAAGUACUUGCAGGGGCUGGAGCUACUUCCGGCUUCUGCUUUUUUUGACCCGUUUGUAUAAAUAAUCAGAAGCACUUUUAAGAAUCUGAGAAUGCUAGCUUUUCUCUCAGAGCUUCUGUUUCUUUUCCAAACACUUUAUUAACUUAUUAACUUAUCACUUCUACUCAACUUCUCCAAUUUAAAUAAGAAGUCACUUCUUUUAAGCUAACUCAAACGGCUCCACAGUUUAUUGGUUGAUCUCCAAAUAAAGGUCAACAGAGCAUCUGCCUGCCCAGCUAUCGAAUAUAAAAUAUUUGAUGUAAAAUAUGAGUGAACAUGUGUGUGUACUAAUAAAAAAAUACAACGAUAAUGAAAAUACGAAAUAAAUUUCAACCUAAUCCCAGUUAUCAUCUACCUAAAGAUAUUAAUUGUGCAACAAUCCAGUGUGUGGUGUAGAUAGUUGCCAACAAAUACAACCAGAAACUUCACAUACAUUUCACGUCUCUACUUGACAAGAGCGUCUGCCUAAAUUUCAUUCAAAGAUAAUUUAGCUUUUUAAGUUGAAUGUCUUAGUAAAAUGACACUGAUGUUGUAAUAUUGCAGUUCAAGCUGCGUACACUACUGUCCAGAUCGAUAGUCGUAGAAAUUCGUAACCAUAUCCAUAUUUUCAAAAAUACGGUUAAAGUUGGAUAUGAAGUUGGAACACAGGUUGAAAAUAGUUGCUCGCAUUUACAAUUGAGUUUGAAUAUAUAUUUUACAGUAUUUUCGAAAAAAAUAUUUUACAGAAUUCUACCCUACCAAGAGACCGAACAAAUUAAUAACAGAUCUUAAACAAAAUCAAGAUAGGAUAACUCAUUUAAGAAUCUGCCGUACUUCCAUUAAUUCCAUGUCUUCCAUCUGCAUUGAUGCGUCCUCACUCCUCAUCAUUCGGAAGAAUUCCUACCCCGCAUCACCAUCACCUUGCAGUGCAUUGAUUACCAAGUUGAUGUUUUUAGUCUGCAGACUUGUUUGGUUUGUAUUUGAGUAGUAUGAUUUGUUAAACAGUCAUCGAUGGAUAAGCAGUCACCAAAAUUGUGGUCAUUGGGUGAAGAAAACUAUUCACAAUAAUUCAUUACAGGGUACUUCAUUUGAGUCAUUUCUCACUGAAUCAUCACGGGAAUUCCUCGAUGAUUCCUGCAAUUUCCUCUACCCAAAUUCCUCAAUGAUUCCUGCAAUUUCCUCUACCCAAAUUCCCUUCCAUAACUUCCUUUUAAUUAAUACCUUUUACUUUUACUUUUUAAUUUUUAAUUAUAUUUAUAUUUAAUUUUACAAUCGAAAAUUUCAAGGAAUGAACCUAUUUAAUGAGAGUCCUCUCAGUCUCAUUUUUCCCUUAUAUAGAAAUACUAAAAAUAAAAAAUAUAAAUAAUCUCAUAAAAAUAUCAGUCCAACCAUACUCUCCCAUUGUUCAUAAUUUUAGCCAAUUUUUUAUGGAUAAUUAUAUAUGUUGAAUAACUAUAAAUUUAUAGCAAAUGACGGAUCACCAAUUAUCAUAUUAAAACAAUAUAUUCUAUAUUCAAAAAACUUCAAAUAAUAAUAUCAUGUUAUAUUUAAAAUAUAGUCAAUCAAUGUAACCAAUACUAUCGAAACAAAAUGUACUACAGGCUCAACAAAUUUUAUAUAAUAUCUUACAUGCUCAAUUUAGCUGACCAUUAUAAUCAACCCACCCCGUGGAGAUGCUCUAAGCAUUCGAUGAAAAAAGAUGUAGAAUCCUGCUCUAACUAGGAGGCAAGCUGACAAUUUGAAAAUAAAUUUUACAUAUUCUUGUUCUUUAAAAGAAGAAGCAGUUUUUUAAAAUUGAGGAAAGAUGAGCCAUUAGGAUGACAUGAUUUUUCUGCCAAUUUCUUCCACUCCAUAGCCUUGUUUCUCAUUUUCUUACCCUCGACUCCAUCCAUCAACUGUCUAACAAGCAUCUCUACAUCGUUUCUCUGCACAUUAUUAGGAAUCUCCAAUCCGCACUCCCAUUGGUCACACAAGUACUUACAGUUUAUUGGUUGAUCUCCAAAGAAAGGCCAACAGAGCAUCGGCACUCCAGCUGAUAUGCUCUCUAUGAUUGAGUUCCACCCUCCAUGAGUCAAGAAUCCUCCCACUGAUACGUGGUUGAGGACAUCCUCUUGUGGACACCAGCUUGAAAUUAGACCCCUGUCCUUGAUGGCUUCAAUAAAUUGAACUCCCAAGUUAACUGCAGAUUCACCUACAAUCAAAUCAGGCCUAAUAAUCCAUAAAAAGUUGCAUUUGCUAUUAGCAAGUCCCCAACCAAACUCUAUAAGCUGCUCUUCAGACAUGACUGUUAUGCUUCCAAAGUUCACAUAAACUACAGACUCAGCUUCUUUCGAGUCCAGCCACUCAAGACAUGAUUUUUCCUCUUCCCAAAGACUAUAUCCAAU
Molecule: long non-coding RNA, 12192 nt
Filed under: Daucus carota (carrot)
Lineage: Eukaryota; Viridiplantae; Streptophyta; Magnoliopsida; Apiales; Apiaceae
Description: long non-coding RNA (DCAR_LNC005659)
Source: RNAcentral